AUUACUCCUACGGGAGGCAGCAGUGGGGAAUCUUGGUCAAUGGGCGCAAGCCUGAACCAGCGACGCCGCGUGAGUGAUGAAGGCCUUCGGGUUGUAAAGCUCUGUGGGGAGGAAAGAAAAAACCAAGUCGAAUAGGCUUGGGAAUUGACGGUACCUCCUUAGCAAGCACCGGCUAACUCUGUGCCAGCAGCCGCGGUAAU
Molecule: ribosomal RNA, 200 nt
Filed under: uncultured Pseudomonadota bacterium
Lineage: Bacteria; Pseudomonadati; Pseudomonadota
Description: uncultured proteobacterium partial 16S ribosomal RNA
Rfam family: Bacterial small subunit ribosomal RNA
Source: RNAcentral